Molecule: long non-coding RNA, 314 nt
Organism: Gossypium arboreum
Lineage: Eukaryota; Viridiplantae; Streptophyta; Magnoliopsida; Malvales; Malvaceae
Exons: 3
Source: RefSeq, a predicted model, not a curated record
AGGUUAGGUAAAUGUUCCAUGAUAAUGGGUUAGGUAAAUGUUUCAUGAUAAUGGGUUAGGUAAAUGUUUCAUGAUAAGAAUUUCAUGUCUUUUGUAUUAAAGAAUUAAAUGGAUGAAAUAUGAAGUUUUAUUAAAAGAAAAAGGGGUGAAAAGAACAAAGUUUUGUCCAUCUUUGUUCAUCAUAGCUGAAAGUUAGAGAAGAGAAAGCUCUUGAGUAUUUGGUCAUUAGGAGGAGGAAAAUUGAAGGCAGUUCGUGUGUGUGGAUCUCGUCAGCAUAUCGUUGCAAACAGGAAAUCCCCAACCAUAGUGGGCUU